UGUCGGAGGUUCCAGGCAGGUUCCAGGAAUUUAUCAGGAGCGAGGCGGAUUCGCCCCGCCCCCGUUGCCGCCUCGGACACACCCCGGACACGCCCCUGCAAUCCUGGCCUGGGCUCUGAUUUAAGGAAUGCCCCGCCCCGAACCCGCCCUUCCUCCACCCGGUCCCGCCCCUUUUCGCCGCGCCUUGCCCCCUCCCAACCAUGGAACCCGCGCGCCCGUCGGAGCCUAGAACCAUGGGAGCCGUUACAAGACAUGUAGAGGCUUAACCUGGUUUGCCACAAUGCUGGACCCUUUUCAAGAUUUUAAGAUGUAUAUGAAGAAGUAUUGCACCAGAAUAUUAAAAGAUAUGUAAUAUUUUAUUGAUAAAUAUAUCCUUUAAAAGGAGUACAUUUUAGGACAUCAUCAUUUUGAUGUGAAUGUAAGUGGCUAUUUAUUAUACAUUUAGUGUUUUAAGAGACUCACCCAAUUGCCUUUUUGCCCAUAUAUAUUAUAUAGGCUAUUUGGCAAUUUUUUAAACAGUGACAUUAAAGAAUAGUUUAUGUAGAGAAACCUUAGUGGUUGUUAAUUGUCUCCUCACCUGUAUCCAUGGGUUAGUUCAAUUGCUUUGCUAGUUACAAAGCAGUAUCAGAGUAAAAGUGUAUUUGUAAACUGUAUGGGAACUAAAAAUUGGGAAUAAAACCAUUUUAGUUUUAAAAAAAGAUGACUUA
Molecule: long non-coding RNA, 707 nt
Filed under: Oryctolagus cuniculus (rabbit)
Lineage: Eukaryota; Metazoa; Chordata; Mammalia; Lagomorpha; Leporidae
Description: lncRNA (ENSOCUG00000037542.1)
Source: RNAcentral